AUCAUGGCUCAGAUUGAACGCUGGCGGCAGGCCUAACACAUGCAAGUCGAGCGGAAACGAGUUGUCUGAACCUUCGGGGAACGAUAACGGCGUCGAGCGGCGGACGGGUGAGUAAUGCCUAGGAAAUUGCCCUGAUGUGGGGGAUAACCAUUGGAAACGAUGGCUAAUACCGCAUGAUGCCUACGGGCCAAAGAGGGGGACCUUCGGGCCUCUCGCGUCAGGAUAUGCCUAGGUGGGAUUAGCUAGUUGGUGAGGUAAGGGCUCACCAAGGCGACGAUCCCUAGCUGGUCUGAGAGGAUGAUCAGCCACACUGGAACUGAGACACGGUCCAGACUCCUACGGGAGGCAGCAGUGGGGAAUAUUGCACAAUGGGCGCAAGCCUGAUGCAGCCAUGCCGCGUGUGUGAAGAAGGCCUUCGGGUUGUAAAGCACUUUCAGUCGUGAGGAAGGUAGUGUAGUUAAUAGCUGCAUU
RNAcentral lists this ribosomal RNA (471 nucleotides) under Vibrio parahaemolyticus. Its description in RNAcentral is "bacterial SSU rRNA". It matches the Rfam family "Bacterial small subunit ribosomal RNA", at positions 16 to 472 of the family's 1533-position model. Lineage: Bacteria; Pseudomonadati; Pseudomonadota; Gammaproteobacteria; Vibrionales; Vibrionaceae. The record is from RNAcentral.